GGUCUGUUUCAGGGCGGGGUGCAAUUCCCCACUGGCGGUAAAGUCCGCGACCCGGCGAAAGUCGGCUGAAUGGGUGAAACUCCCAUACCAACGGUAUAGUCCGGAUGAAAGAAACAGCGU
This 120-nucleotide non-coding RNA is filed under the name Anaerotruncus sp. G3(2012). RNAcentral's name for it is "FMN riboswitch aptamer (RFN element)". It matches the Rfam family "FMN riboswitch aptamer (RFN element)". Rfam says of the family: The RFN element is a highly conserved domain that is found frequently in the 5'-untranslated regions of prokaryotic mRNAs that encode for flavin mononucleotide (FMN) biosynthesis and transport proteins. Lineage: Bacteria; Bacillati; Bacillota; Clostridia; Eubacteriales; Oscillospiraceae. RNAcentral also lists the same sequence under 1 other name. The record is from Rfam by way of RNAcentral.